ACCCGAGUGAGCGGAGUUAACCAUUACUGCCGUUUCAGUGGGAAAAGCACUGCUGCCGAGCAACGCCAUACAAUUAAACAAGCACACCUAAGUUCCUCAACUGUAACUCCACAGGAUAGAGAAAAUGAUAACAACCAUUGUGUAUAUUGUCUGCCAAUCAUUUCCUUUGAAGGCAACCAUUCAUCUAAUCUGCAAGAUGCCAGGGAGAGACUCUUUUAAACAGAGCCACCAUCUGAAGGAGCAAAGACGUUACUGCAAGUUGAACCAUCCUUGGGCGAGACGUUCAGCCACAAAUUGCACUCGAAUCCGCUGCAGACCCGCACGUUGUGUGAUUGAUUACUGCCAUUUGUGUAAUCAUUUAUAAUUAACUAUCAUAUAAAGACGAUCACAAAAAAGAACCAUUAGCCUCAUGUUCAUGAAUCUGCAACUACUCUGGAAGUAGAGAGACUAGUAGGCUAACACCUGAAGAC
Molecule: long non-coding RNA, 470 nt
Organism: Acanthopagrus latus (yellowfin seabream)
Lineage: Eukaryota; Metazoa; Chordata; Actinopteri; Spariformes; Sparidae
Exons: 3
Source: RefSeq, a predicted model, not a curated record